GGGGGCGACUGGUUUCGAUUGUGUAGGUGGCUCCGUGGCUGCGCGCCCAGGUCCUCGGGUUCCUGGUAAAACACUCGGGAAUUGUACAACUGCGAAUUCUGACUUCGCUCUCGCCGCGUAAGGCCUAGCCUUACCCCGGCAGUGCCGGACCUGCAGCCCGCCCGGGGCGGCGGUCCGGUAUCGCAAAUCCGGGCUGGCCCAACGGUGUGCCUGCCACCGACGGGCGAGAUUCCAGUAGGCUCAUCCGUGUGUGGGCGGCCCGUCGGCCAGCACCCGGAGACAUCAAUCGGCGGGAUACGCGCGUAGAUGCUGCGGAAGAUCGUAUGCAAGACGGGAGUUCGAAUCUCCCCGCCUCCACUC
This 360-nucleotide transfer-messenger RNA is filed under the name Gemmatimonadota bacterium. It matches the Rfam family "transfer-messenger RNA". From Rfam's summary of the family: Bacterial tmRNA, also known as 10Sa RNA or SsrA, is named for its dual tRNA and mRNA-like properties. Its role is to liberate the mRNA from a stalled ribosome. The record is from RNAcentral. Lineage: Bacteria; Pseudomonadati; Gemmatimonadota.